AUGUUAGUAAAGCCUGCUCAAUGUAAAAUAAAUAGCCGCAGAUUUCCUGUGCUAAGGUAGCAUAAUAAUUUGCCUUAUAAUUUAAGGCUCGCAUGAAAGGUAUCACAUAUUGAUAACUUUAUUAUUCAAAACCCUUCAAUCUAACCUUUUAGUAAAAAGGCUAAAAUUUUUAAAGAAGACGACAAGACCCUGACAAACUUUACAUCCAUGUUUUACUGGGGGGGUAAAAAAACUAUAUCUUUUCAACCCAUUAAAUAUCAGAAAUAUUUCUACAUUUAUUCAAGUUACUGCAGGGAUAACAGCAUAAUUUUUUCCUAAAGACCUUAUCUAAGAAAAAGUUUGUGACCUCGAUGUUGAAUUAGGAACCUAUAAAGAGCAAAAUCUUUACAAGUAAGUCUGUUCGACUUUUAAUAUCCUACAUGAUUUGAGUUCAGACCGGCGCAAGCCAGGUCGGUUUCUAUCUCUUUUUAAGAAUUUUUAGUACGAAAGGAUCAAAAUUCUAAUCUUUCAUUUU
RNAcentral lists this ribosomal RNA (514 nucleotides) under Nemesia sp. CRBAME001334. RNAcentral's name for it is "partial 16S ribosomal RNA". It matches the Rfam family "Bacterial large subunit ribosomal RNA", at positions 1846 to 2716 of the family's 2925-position model. The record is from RNAcentral. Lineage: Eukaryota; Metazoa; Arthropoda; Arachnida; Araneae; Nemesiidae.